CAGAAUCACGGUUGCCAGAGAAACAUCAGCGGGCUUUAGCUGGGGUAGAGCUUAGCAAGUGUUGGGGUAUCAGCAGUUAGUCACUGUUUGCCUGGAACCACAGGAUGUGAAUCCUAGCUCCUGGAUUCCAAGGAAUCCUGCAUCCAGGUGUUUAUUGUGCUUUGCAGAGUCAACAUCAAGCUCAGGAGCUGGUUGCAGACAUAGAUGAGUGUGAAGUUUCUGGCCUGUGCAGGCAUGGAGGGCGAUGCGUGAACACUCAUGGGAGCUUUGAAUGCUACUGUAUGGAUGGAUACUUGCCAAGGAAUGGACCUGAGCCUUUCCACCCGACCACCGAUGCCACAUCAUGCACAGAAAUAGACUGUGGUACCCCUCCUGAGGUUCCAGAUGGCUAUAUCAUAGGAAAUUAUACAUCUAGGCUGGGCAGCCAGGUUCGUUAUGCUUGCAGAGAAGGAUUCUUCAGUGUUCCAGAAGAUACAGUUUCAAGCUGCACAGCCCUGGGCACAUGGGAGUCCCCAAAAUUACAUUGCCAAGAGAUCAACUGUGGCAACCCUCCAGAAAUGCGGCACGCCAUCUUGGUAGGAAAUCACAGCUCCAGGCUGGGCGGUGUGGCUCGCUAUGUCUGUCAAGAGGGCUUUGAGAGCCCUGGAGGAAAGAUCACUUCUGUUUGCACAG
RNAcentral lists this small RNA (672 nucleotides) under Pan troglodytes (chimpanzee). RNAcentral's name for it is "processed transcript". The record is from RNAcentral. Lineage: Eukaryota; Metazoa; Chordata; Mammalia; Primates; Hominidae.